This is a long non-coding RNA of Tympanuchus pallidicinctus (lesser prairie-chicken), 784 nucleotides long. RefSeq lists it as uncharacterized. NCBI's taxonomy places the organism in Eukaryota, Metazoa, Chordata, Aves, Galliformes, Phasianidae. The transcript has 3 exons. The record is from RefSeq and is a predicted model, not a curated record.
UGAAGCAGAGAGCUGGACUUUGGGCGGGGAGGCAUUUUGGUGCACUCAGCUCACGGUGCUGAGGGACCCCCAGGGAUCUGGGAGCAGCACCUCGGGGAGCCCCACACAGCCCCGCUGUGCUCGGAUAGCCAACUCCUGCUUGAAGUGUUGCUGUUCUGUGGUAUGGCCCAAAGGGAAGCUGAAGAGGCAGCUCAGAGCAAGGUCUUGAGGCAGGUGGCCGUGAGCGCACAGCUGCUGUGUGGGUGCCAGGGCUGAUGGGCAGCACCUGGGCCUAGCCUCCCACCAAGUCCUGGUCGGGCAGCACCAUCCCUCAGCAGAAGCUAUAUAGGGCAGUUUCUAGCAGGCAGCAACCCUCAUUCUCUGGGGUAGCUCCUCAGGAGAGGAAUAAGGUGCUUAGGCAUAAUUUGAUGUUCCUUUAUGCUGAAGUGACAGCUCCUGGUGAUGCGUGACAGUACAGCCAAGAAAUCUGUACAUAGGAUGCGUCUUCUCCUGCUGGAUAGUUCUCCAGAAAGGGAUUUAGCAGGCAUAAACAAGACUGCAACUAACUGGUUGAAAAUUUAAUCUGUUUUUCCUCCUGUGGGGAACACCUAAGGUAUCUUGAAGUAACAUUUUUCAAUGGACGUUUUUCUGGGAAGGCCUUUUGCGUGAAGAAAAGAAAAAAGACCCCUUGCUGUCCCAGAAUGGUUGAUAGCCUGGUGUUUUUGGUGUGCCUCUGGAAUGUCCGAGUCCUGUUAGUUUUGGAGAAAGGCCUGGAAACCUGGGUUUUCAAUAUUCUGUGAAAGUC